UUUUGUUACUUUAAAAGUAUUGACUUUAAAGUUGUACUUUUUACUUUGACUCAGGUAUGCUUUUGGCUAAAUACUUGGACUAUAAAUUGAAUGAAAUUUUUACUCAGUAGGCUAUCCAUACUGUCAGGAUUGCUACUGUGAGGAACGUGGAGACGAAGGAGAUUCAGGAUAACAGUCUUUAAUAAACAUCCAGGGGGAUACACGUAGCACCACUAGAUGUUUAACACUGGACAAAGGAACCACAGAAUAGACAACACUUUAAAUACUAAACUAAAGGAGGGUAAUAGAAGAGACACACCUGAAUCAAAUGAACACAAUCAAACAAGGGACAAACUGGGUCACGGGGAGCACAUGCGGAGAGAAACACAACAAAACAGGAACAUAAAAAGAUCUGACCUUCUAGCAGAAAGGAGGGAGGAGGUGAACAGAAUUCUGUCGGGGGCAGACACAAAAACAGCAUUGAGCAGGGGACCGAGAGAGACAGACGUAAGCACACAUAAGCAGCAGAGAUUGUGAAGGGCAGCAGAAAUGAAGACUAAACUAGAACAAACUUGGAAGAGGAACAAGAAAUGUGUCUAACUGUCUUAACUCUCGCUUCACAGCGCCUCGAGCUUUCUUCAGAGAAACUCUUCUGCCGUAUGCCAUUUGGAAACCAAAAUGAAUAGACAAUCACACUAAACAGAAAUGAGAUAGAAAGAGAGAGUGUAAGUGCAUGCGCUUGCAUCAGAUCAUUGGGUUUCUGGCAGGCCUUGAUGCUGUUCAAGGUGAGAGAUAAGGAUGGCAGCAGACGUAUCUGCCCGGCGACCUUGAUAUCCCAUCUGGCCAAAGCAAGCAAACCAAGCCAGAAGUUGAGUGCUGCUGAGUUAUAUUAUGCAUGGGGUGCUUUAUAAAAACCUCCAAAGGGUUACAGCAUCCAGCUAUUGAUCAGCUUUUAAACCAAGAUAAAGUCUUCACUGUUGCUGCAUCUCUUUGGUAGAUGUUUUUUUUCUUCCAUGCUCUCCUUCUGAAAGUGUUCUGCUCUCUUUAUCAUCUGAUCAUACAUCAGUAUUGUUGCUGAAUGUUUUGGCAGUUAAUGUUGGAUAAUAAUAAUAAUAAAAAAAUAAUGAUAAUAAAAAAGUGAUGAUUUUGAUCAAAGUGACUUAGAAUUUAAUAAAAACAAACAAUUUCAAGGAACACUUCACCCCAAAAUAAACUCCCUCUCAUGUCAUUUAACACUAUUUUUCAUAUUUCUUUCCUUGGAAAACAAAUUUUUUUAAACUCUAAAAGUAUGUUUUCCAUUAAUUAUGCAAACUUUACUUUAGAAGGCUUGGAAUAUAUAUCACUCUAAGAAAAGUCCAUAAGUCAAUACCUGAUUCACUAAGCAGUUAAAUAUUCAAUGUGUUGAGGUCACAUAACACCAAAGUAGAUGCGUAUUGCAUAGUUCAUAUUGUUUCAUAUUGACAAAAGGAGUCAACAGUAAACUUUAUAUUAUGUAUGCUAGGAUGGAUCCAGACAAGGACGAUGUCUUAAAACACAUUUGGUGGAUACACUUGAGAAAUCUUCAGUCCAGGCUCUGUAUCUUUGUCUUGUGUAUAAGCCAAUCAGUCUAAUCUACUUUCUGAUAUUGGGCCAGCACUUGUCUGCAGUUCCCAUUUCAUUUAAACCAUACAGGGGUUGGGUGGCCUCCAAGAUGCAGAGACAUUUGCGUUCAUUCCUAGACGAGAGAGAGAGAGAGAGAGAGAGAGAGAGAGAGUGUGUGAGAGAGAGAGAGAGAGAGAGAGAGAGAGAGAGAGAGAGAGAGAGAGAGAGAGAGUGAGAGUGAGAGAGAGAGAGAGAGAGUGAGAGAGGGAGAGUGAGAGAGGGAGAGAGGGAGAGAGAGUGAGA
Cyprinus carpio carpio is the source of this 1863-nucleotide long non-coding RNA. The record is from Ensembl. NCBI's taxonomy places the organism in Eukaryota, Metazoa, Chordata, Actinopteri, Cypriniformes, Cyprinidae.